This 424-nucleotide ribosomal RNA is filed under the name uncultured bacterium. RNAcentral's name for it is "bacterial SSU rRNA". It matches the Rfam family "Bacterial small subunit ribosomal RNA", at positions 358 to 795 of the family's 1533-position model. The record is from RNAcentral.
GGAAUUUUCCGCAAUGGGCGAAAGCCUGACGCAGCAACGCCGCGUGAGGGAUGAAGGCCUUCGGGUCGUAAACCUCUGUCAGAGGGGAAGAACGAGAGUGACGGUACCCUCAAAGGAAGCACCGGCUAACUCCGUGCCAGCAGCCGCGGUAAUACGGAGGGUGCAAGCGUUGUUCGGAAUCAUUGGGCGUAAAGAGCGUGUAGGCGGCCUGUUAAGUCUGAUGUGAAAGCCCCGGGCUCAACCCGGGAAGUGCAUCGGAUACUGGCAGGCUUGAGUACGGGAGAGGGAAGUGGAAUUCCGCGUGUAGGAGUGAAAUCCGUAGAUAUGCGGAGGAACACCAGUGGCGAAGGCGGCUUCCUGGACCGAUACUGACGCUGAGACGCGAAAGCGUGGGGAGCAAACAGGAUUAGAUACCCCAGUAGUC